This is a long non-coding RNA of Triticum dicoccoides, 2047 nucleotides long. RefSeq lists it as uncharacterized. The transcript has 4 exons. Lineage: Eukaryota; Viridiplantae; Streptophyta; Magnoliopsida; Poales; Poaceae. The record is from RefSeq and is a predicted model, not a curated record.
UUCUUCAACCUCCCACCAAAUAUCCAAUCUGCGGCGGCGGCGCCAAGCUUAUCCCAUCCGUCGCCCGGCCACUCCCACAUCCUAUGCAGCAGCAGCCUCGCCCCGAGCGAUGCCCUCCACCGGCUGCUUCUUCUCUCCUCAAUCGGCGACCUCAGCAGUCAGAUCCCGGCUGGCAUCCGUUGUCCUCCCCAUCACCGCUCCGCCCUCUACAGACGUCGUCCUUGCCGUCGCCAAGCUGGAUCCACGCCGACGUCAACUUCCAGCCAAAACUCCUCCACGCUCCCCCCAAUCCCAUCCCGUCCACAAGUUAUACCAUUAAAUCAACAAGAUCAUUCUUUUGGGAGGAAAGGAGCGAAUACAUUAAUCUGGUUUUCUGGACACUUCAAGCAGUUUGGUCCUUGUUUCAGCUAGCAAAAACAUGGAUGGUACCAUAUUAACGAUGGAAUGUUCUAGUGGUAAGUGCAACAUUUAACGUAUUCUACAUUUACAUAUCUUGUGAUUUCUGUCACCCAGAUCCUAUUUUCACGGAUGCUUGGCAAGAAUUUGCGUGUUGCAUGAUCAUAAGAACAUGGCUCAGGCCGGUAUGCAGUUUCCUCUUUCUUUGAUAUACAUAACUGCCACAUUAACCGAGAUAUCAUAUGUACGGUAGAUGUGGAUGUAGCUGGUAUGUAGGUGUUAGUUACCACUCUGCCGUUCCUAAUUACAUGUAUAUAUUUGGUCCACCAGAAUAAAUAAGAGGCCGUUUUCUCACACAUGAAAAUUAGUGUUCCCAGUGAAUAUGCAAUGAGUCCCAACUAGGCUAACAUCUGUCUGGAAGAGCACUAUGUUGCCAAUAUGUAUACCAUCUACCAAGAAAUGUCCUAACUUCUAACUAUCCUCGUUCCUCGCAUACUUUAGAACAUCAGAAAAUUGCCAAUAAUUAAACUAUGAUAUAUUUACUUCUUUGAGUUGUCUGCCAAAAUCGAAUGAAAUUGCAUAUGUAUUGGUCUUGAGUUUUAUUUCAAAUGAGUUGCCUAUUUAUUAUCUCAUAGACAUUCGUGAGGUAUUUCCACAAUAUAAAUCAUGAUAUGAAUUCUUUUAUUACUUUCUAAUUUGUUUCAUUUCGUGGCAAGGUUGUCUACAGUAGUUCUCCAUUUUAUUAGGAAUCGGAGAUGAUCAAAUAGCUUUCCGUAGAUUUCUGAAAAGAUUAUCCCCGGUGCCAUUUCUCGCUAAUUCAUUCACUACCUGCAAUACAAUAUGUUUUUAAUGAGUAAAUUGCAAUACAUUCCUGUGGUGCUUGUUAGAAAUUGUACAUAGAUUCUAAUUAUUAAUCUGAAUAAACACAAGCAUCAGAUCUGUUGCGCAUGUUUCAUUUGCUUCUACUACCAUACCCAUGACGGUGUUGGAUUGCAUUCUGAUGUUUAGAGACUGACCUCACAUAUGAAUUGUCUUACUUAUAUUAAUUACGCAGUAUGUAGGGCAAGAUGGAAAGGUGUGACAGAUUUUAGCGAAAUUUUGAGUUUAAAUCUUGUCGAAAUUAGGCACGUAAAUAUAAUUGCAUAGGCCAAUGAAAAUUGGUAUUGCCAGUGAAGGGUCCGCUGCAAUUCUUAUUCAACAUCUCAGCUGUCCAGCAAAGAAAUCAAGAUUUGGACCAAUUGCAUAUUCCGACAUGGGACAACUAAUGAAUUGUUUCUUGCCGAAACAUGGGCAACCAAUCACAUAUUUGGAGGUCAAAAGAGCUAUGGGAAGCUAUUUUUUUUCAAGCAACUUAGCAGAAUAAGUGAGGACGCAGAGGAGAAAUGAGCAGAAGAAGGAUGCACAAAUAAAUCAGUUCCUGCCUGCAGCUUAUGGAAAGACUCCAGCUACUUAGAGAAUAGGAUAUUUUUCUUGAUAUGUGUGCAACUUUUUGUCCACGGAUGUGUAGUUCAGUUACGAAAUGUUAACCCCACAAGAUAUAAAUAUAAAAGUAUUGGUUUGCUGCUUUCAACUGUGUGAUGUUAUGUUUUUCUUGUGCUGUUGAAUGUUGAUCGUGAGAACAUCGUGCUUACAUAUGAAAUGGAGGAUGUAG